AUUGAACGCUGGCGGCAGGCCUAACACAUGCAAGUCGAGCGAGCGGCGGACGGGUGAGUAAUGUCUGGGAAACUGCCUGUUGGAGGGGGAUAACUACUGGAAACGGUAGCUAAUACCGCAUACCAUCAGAUGUGCCCAGAUGGGAUUAGCUAGUAGGUGGGGUAACGGCUCACCUAGGCGACGAUCCCUAGCUGGUCUGAGAGGAUGACCAGCCACACUGGAACUGAGACACGGUCCAGACUCCUACGGGAGGCAGCAGUGGGGAAUAUUGCACAAUGGGCGCAAGCCUGAUGCAGCCAUGCCGGGUGUGUGAAGAAGGCCUUCGGGUUGUAUAGCACUUUUGGCAGGAAAGCGGUACCUGCAGAAUAAGCACCGGCUAACUACGUGCCAGCAGCCGCGGUAAUAC
This 406-nucleotide ribosomal RNA is filed under the name uncultured bacterium. RNAcentral describes it as "partial 16S ribosomal RNA". It matches the Rfam family "Bacterial small subunit ribosomal RNA", at positions 30 to 526 of the family's 1533-position model. The record is from RNAcentral.